Molecule: transfer RNA, 61 nt
Filed under: Fukomys damarensis (Damara mole-rat)
Lineage: Eukaryota; Metazoa; Chordata; Mammalia; Rodentia; Bathyergidae
Rfam family: tRNA
About the family: Transfer RNA (tRNA) molecules are approximately 80 nucleotides in length. Their secondary structure includes four short double-helical elements and three loops (D, anti-codon, and T loops). Further hydrogen bonds mediate the characteristic L-shaped molecular structure. tRNAs have two regions of fundamental functional importance: the anti-codon, which is responsible for specific mRNA codon recognition, and the 3' end, to which the tRNAs corresponding amino acid is attached (by aminoacyl-tRNA synthetases). tRNAs cope with the degeneracy of the genetic code in two manners: having more than one tRNA (with a specific anti-codon) for a particular amino acid; and 'wobble' base-pairing, i.e. permitting non-standard base-pairing at the 3rd anti-codon position.
Source: Rfam by way of RNAcentral
UAUAGCUCAAUGGUAGAGCACAUAUUUGCCAUGUGUGAGACCAUGGGUUCAAUGCCCAAUA